UCUACUGUGGCAGAUAAGUGCAAUGGAUUUAAGCUCCAUAUAUAAAGGUUACCCCUUUCAUUAGAA
This 66-nucleotide transfer RNA is filed under the name Ameletus sp. 1 MT-2014. RNAcentral's name for it is "tRNA-Leu". It matches the Rfam family "tRNA". Rfam says of the family: Transfer RNA (tRNA) molecules are approximately 80 nucleotides in length. Their secondary structure includes four short double-helical elements and three loops (D, anti-codon, and T loops). Further hydrogen bonds mediate the characteristic L-shaped molecular structure. tRNAs have two regions of fundamental functional importance: the anti-codon, which is responsible for specific mRNA codon recognition, and the 3' end, to which the tRNAs corresponding amino acid is attached (by aminoacyl-tRNA synthetases). tRNAs cope with the degeneracy of the genetic code in two manners: having more than one tRNA (with a specific anti-codon) for a particular amino acid; and 'wobble' base-pairing, i.e. permitting non-standard base-pairing at the 3rd anti-codon position. The record is from RNAcentral. Lineage: Eukaryota; Metazoa; Arthropoda; Insecta; Ephemeroptera; Ameletidae.